UUUUUCUUUUUUUUUUUUUUAGACGGAGUCUCGCUCUGUGGCCCGGGCUGGAGUGCAGUGGUCGGAUCUCAGCUCACUGCAAGCCCCGCCUCCUGGGUUUACGCCAUUCUCUUGCCUCAGCCUCCAGAGUAGCUGGGACUACAGUCACCCGCCACUUGCCCGGCUAGUUUUUUUUGUAUUUUUUAGUAAAGGCGUGGUUUCACCGUGUUAGCCAGGAUGGUCUCGAUCUCCUGACCUCAUGAUCCGCCUGUCACGGCCUCCCAAAGUGCUGGGAUUACAGGAUGGAGCCACCGUGCCCGGCCCUUUUUUCUUCCAAGAGGAGGGGCUGCGCUGCCGGGAGGCAGUGCGUUGAGCUCUAAUGGAUGGAACACUGCUAACCAGCGAAGGUGGAGAGAGGGCACCCGUCUGAGAGGAUGAAGAGGCAGCAAAGCACAGCUGGCCUCGGGGAACCGGAAGCCACAGAGACAUCAGGCUGGGUGCUGCUGUCUGCGGGCCACUGUCUGGGGGACUGUACUGGGCCUGGAGGGACAUCCCUGACACUCUCCACCGGAUGCCAGGGGCACCCCCAGCCCCAGGUGAGAACCACGGAUCCCAUGGUGAAUGAGGCCAGCCUGUGGGAAGUGGGGCUGGGACAGCUCUGCACAGCUUAAUAGAAAAGUUGGGUUCUAUUUUGUGGGGCUUUGGUGACACCAAUGGCUGGUCAGUGCUGUCCGUCAGGAAGUGAUUUGAUGACAGGCUAGAGAAGCGGCUGCCAAGGCCAGCGGGGCACUCGCUGCCUGGGUCCAAGGAAAAGGAAAUAAAGGCUGGCGAUGUGACAGAGUGGGGAACACAGAGGGAAGGAACUGGUGGAGACACAGGGCUGGCCCUGCACAGGGCUACGAGCAGUUACCCGGGGGUUGUCCUAUUAAUUCUUCUCACGGCACCACGAGGCAGCUGUGAGGAUCCCUCUCCUGAGGACAGAACUGCUCCAGAACCACACAGAGAGGAUCCACAGAACCAAGAUCCGGGCCAGCUCCACAGCGGGCGAUCUUGACCCCUCACCCGUGGUCCUGAGGCAGGGAUCAGAGCCCCCUGGACACACAGACCCUCCCAGGAAUUGCAGGAAGGGGAAGCAGAAGCCCUGGACCAGCGGCAGGACCCAGGGUUUCUGCCCUCCAGGUCACAUGGGGACCAGCCACUGCACAGGUGGACACACGGUGCUUUAACCUGCGCUGGGGAAAGGAGCCCUCGCUCUCAGGGUGAAGACCGCAGCUCGAUCGGGCCGCCCUCCCUGCUGGGCACAGCCUGAGCCACAGGACCAAGGCCAGAGAGGAUUACCAAGGUUCACCUGGCCAGCUUCCAGCAGCCCCCGACGAGGCCACUACCCUCACCUGAACAGCCCUGUCCAUCACCAAGCCCCACCCUCUUCUGCCAGCCCUGCCCCCACAAGGCCCCGCCUCUCGCAUGCAAGCCCCGCCCCCAAGACCCAGCUUGCCUGCAGCACCACCCCACUGGCUCCACCCCAUCUCCUGCAAGCCCCGUCCCCAAGCCCCAGCUCACCUGCAUCCCCACCUACUAGGCUCCACUCCUCACCUGCAAAGAGCCACCCCUCAC
This 1593-nucleotide long non-coding RNA is filed under the name Macaca fascicularis (crab-eating macaque). Its description in RNAcentral is "lncRNA (ENSMFAG00000056925.1)". The record is from RNAcentral. Lineage: Eukaryota; Metazoa; Chordata; Mammalia; Primates; Cercopithecidae.